ACGCCUGUAGCCAAGUGGUAAAGGCAUCAGACUUUGACUCUGACAUUCGUUCGUUCAAAUCGAGCCAGGCGUG
This 73-nucleotide transfer RNA is filed under the name Herelleviridae sp. Its description in RNAcentral is "tRNA-Gln". It matches the Rfam family "tRNA". From Rfam's summary of the family: Transfer RNA (tRNA) molecules are approximately 80 nucleotides in length. Their secondary structure includes four short double-helical elements and three loops (D, anti-codon, and T loops). Lineage: Duplodnaviria; Heunggongvirae; Uroviricota; Caudoviricetes; Herelleviridae. The record is from RNAcentral.